GACGAACGCUGGCGGCGUGCUUAACACAUGCAAGUCGAACGGAAAGGCCUGCUUUCCCUUGUGGAUUGCGGGUACUCGAGUGGCGAACGGGUGGGUAACACGUGAGUGAUCUGCCCCCAACUUGGGUAUAAGCCUGGGAAACUGGGUCUAAUUCCCGAUAGGACUGCAGGGUGGUGCCUGUGGUGGAAAACGAUUUUCUAGUGGUUGGGGAUGAGCUCGCGGCCUAUCAGCUUGUUGGUGGGGUAAUGGCCUACCAAGGCGGCGACGGGUAGCCGGCCUGGGAGGGUGGACGGCCACAUUGGGACUGAGAUACGGCCCAGACGCCUACGGGAGGCAGCAGUGGGGAAUAUUGCACAAUGGGCGGAAGCCUGAUGCAGCGACGCCGCGUGGGGGAUGACGGCCUUCGGGUUGUAAACUCCUUUCGACCGCGAGGAAGCCACCUGGUUGGAAGGGUGGUGACGGUAGUGGUAGAAGAAGCACCGGCUAACUACGUG
Molecule: ribosomal RNA, 494 nt
Filed under: uncultured bacterium
Lineage: Bacteria
Description: partial 16S ribosomal RNA
Rfam family: Bacterial small subunit ribosomal RNA
Source: RNAcentral